This 254-nucleotide ribosomal RNA is filed under the name uncultured bacterium. RNAcentral describes it as "partial 16S ribosomal RNA". It matches the Rfam family "Bacterial small subunit ribosomal RNA", at positions 107 to 354 of the family's 1533-position model. The record is from RNAcentral.
UGAGUAACACGUGAGUGACCUGCCUUUUAGACUGGAACAACUUACCGAAAGGUGAGCUAAUGCCGGAUGAGUUAUAUAAGUGCAUGUUUAUAUAGGAAAAGUUGGGGAGACCUGACGCUGAAAGAUGGACUCGCGUCCCAUUAGCUAGUUGGUAGGGUAAUGGCCUACCAAGGCGACGGUGGGUAGCCGGCCUGAGAGGGUGGCCGGCCACACUGGGACUGAGACACGGCCCAGACUCCUACGGGAGGCAGCAG